Non-coding RNA from Paramuricea clavata, 422 nucleotides. NCBI's taxonomy places the organism in Eukaryota, Metazoa, Cnidaria, Anthozoa, Malacalcyonacea, Plexauridae. The record is from the annotation of a GenBank genome assembly.
CUCUUUUAACCGACAUCGAUCAGUGACAUGUUAAGUUCAGCCUACCCAGCAAUUUUAUGGAAUUUGUCCAUUAUUUUCAAUCACAAUGUAUGCUGCCAAAUACACCACACAAAUUAUCAAUGUCAUGUGGCCAGUAUUAAAAACAGACAAAUUCUCGGUAUUCUUGAGGUAUUUCCCCAAACAUUUCAACAUUCGAUACUUGUCUAAAUUGUCUACAUAAACGUCGAAUCCUUAAUAUUUCUUACCUGUGUUUAUCUUCCUUUAAAUUUUAGUGUAAAAUGUGUUCUUUUUACCUACAUUACGAUAUACAUCUCGACACACAUUACCUAAAAAGUAGCACGAUCAAGCGAUGGCGAUGUCGCUCGUUCUUCGGUGGUUUCACUCUCACCGCUCUCACUGAGUCACUGCGACGUUAAUAUUUU